GGNGNNGCUAAUACAUGCGAGUCGAGCGCAGUAAUUUUAACGCGAAGGCCUUCGGGCUGGAAGCUAAAAGCGCGAGCGGCGGAUGGGUGAGUAACACGUGGGCAACCUGCCCUUUAGCUUGGGAUACCACUUGGAAACAGGUGCUAAUACCAAAUAAGAAGCAAGAGCGCAUGCUCAAGCUAUGAAAGGCGGCUUUCGAGCUGUCGCUAGAGGAUGGGCCCGCGGUGCAUUAGCUAGUUGGUAAGGUAACGGCUUACCAAGGCAAUGAUGCAUAGCCGAGUUGAGAGACUGAUCGGCCACAUUGGGACUGAGACACGGCCCAAACUCCUACGGGAGGCAGCAGUUCUUAAUCUUCCACAAUGGACGCAAGUCUGAUGGAGCAACGCCGCGUGAGUGAAGAAGGUUUUCGGAUCGUAAAGCUCUGUUGUUGGUGAAGAAGGAUGUGAAUAGUAACUGAUUCAUAUUUGACGGUAAUCAACCAGAAAGUCACGGCUAACUACGUGCCAGCAGCCGCGGUAAUACGUAGGUGGCAAGCGUUGUCCGGAUUUAUUGGGCGUAAAGCGAACGCAGGCGGGAGAACAAGUCAGCUGUGAAAGCCCUCGGCUUAACCGGGGAAGUGCAACUGAAACUGUUUUUCUUGAAUGCAGAAGAUGAGAGUGGAACUCCAUGUGUAGCGUGGGAAUGCGUAGAUAUAUAACAAGAACACCAGUGGCGAAUGCGGCUCUCUGGUCUGUAACUGACGCUCAAGUUCGUAAGCAUGGGUAGCGAACAGGAUCACAGACCCUGGUAGUCCCAUGCCGUAAAACGAUGAAAUGCUAAGUGUUGGUUAGGUUCUCCCGCCUCUCAGCUGCUGCAGCUAACACAUUAAAGCACUCCGCCAUGGACGAAGCUACAACCGUCAAAGCUAAAACUCAAAUAGGAAAUGUGGACCGCGGGCGCCCAGCCACAAGGCAGGCUGGAGCCAUUGUUAGAGUUUCUAAAUUCAGACAAGCGCGAACGAGCGCCAUGUACACCCUGUACCUAGGACCUUCGAUCUAUUCACUAGUGCCCCAGUCCAUAGAGAUUAGACAUCUGUUUCUCGCCGUGUCGAGGAGGAGNAACUNGAGNUGAGCCGAGGCCUGUGGUGNNNNNUGCNNNNUGANUCGUUCCNAGNNUUCGNUGAGUCCNGUGUGAUAAGAGANNNGNUUUNNNGNNGGGU
Molecule: ribosomal RNA, 1198 nt
Filed under: Lactobacillus sp. Makhdzir Naser-1
Lineage: Bacteria; Bacillati; Bacillota; Bacilli; Lactobacillales; Lactobacillaceae
Description: partial 16S ribosomal RNA
Rfam family: Bacterial small subunit ribosomal RNA (bases 1-879)
Source: RNAcentral